Molecule: unclassified non-coding RNA, 1929 nt
Filed under: Leishmania donovani
Lineage: Eukaryota; Euglenozoa; Kinetoplastea; Trypanosomatida; Trypanosomatidae
Description: gene:unknown
Source: RNAcentral
AGAUACAAACGCAAGGAAAUAAACGUUUUUCAGGGCCGCUUCUCGUCAGAUUCGCCACGCUGCUGGGUGGCAGAAGCAACGCCAUAGCGAAGCAGCACCCACGCCCCGCACGGAUCCACAAGCACCGUUGUUUUCUUUUUGACUUCCUCACCCUACCCCUCUCGGGGCCUUGAAAAGGUUUUGCACGCGAGUCUGUGGACGGCUUUCGUCUUCGUCUUUCUCACGCACAUUUUGAUAGCCCCUUCCUCCAGUAGCGGACGCUCUCACACACCUGUCUUCCUCUUCCUAGGCGCCGCCACUACAAGCAAAAACGAAAGACGAACUGCUUUUUAUUUUUUUUUUGCGCCUUGUCUCUUCGAAGCGAGCGCUCAUCCGACGUGGUGGCAGCCACACACACACACACACACGAAGAACGAAGAGGAGAACAGUAAGCGGAAAAGGAAGUCGGACAGGAGCAACAAUACAAAAAAAGCGAGCCUUGACCCUCGUGCAUCCUUUCCAUCGGACGCAGCCGCUGUCCCCCCCCCCUACACACACGCACACGUACCACCACUCUCCAUUCUCCGUCAUCACAGCUUUCCUGUGAUCCGCUCACGCUGAUUCAGAAGGUGCAGCGUCCGGCAACGCACAAGCAACAAGGAAGAGGAGAACAGACCGUACACCGUCGCACAAGAUUCGCAGAUCUGCGCCGGAACGACAACAAAAGCAAAACGACAGAGCAAAAAAAAAGUAAGCGGGUAGUCGAGUCUCUUCAACGCGACGACCCAAAGCGCACGGGCGCAACAGACGGACACACAGCGAUACCCUCGCGCCUCCAUUGCGCUGUUUUUUUUUUGUGCCGGCUCUUUUCGUGCUCUUCGUUGUCGGUUUCUUGUGUUGCCGUACGUGCUUCAGCACGCUUUUUCGUGCUGCGUGUGCGUGCGCGUGUGUCUCGUUGUCGCUCCUUUUCGGUGUUCCAGCUGUUUCUCAAACGAUCCCGUAAGUUUGCCACAGUGCGUGCCUCGACCGGCUGAUCUCCGCACCUGCUUUUUUUUUCGCUGUUGUUCUCCUUCCAGGGUGGAACGUUUCGGCCAGGGAGGCGAGCUCAGAGUGGUCGGGGUGGCUGCUUUGCAGGUAUCCCCUCCCUCCUUUUUCUUCUCUUCUUCUUUUGCCUCUUCCCAGAGCUCCUCCUCGCUCGCACAAGUAUCAUUAUUGUGUAUUUCUUUUUUUUUAUCUGGUUGCUGCCACUUCUGCUUCGUUGGUGCUCUUGGUUUUCGGCCUACACGCGAUUCGCCUCCCUCAUCUUCUCUCCUUGUUGGUUCGUUCUUCUGGGUUUGCUGUCUUUAUUUUUCCUUGUGUGUGUGUGUGUGUGAAGAGGGAGCGGAGGGGGAUCACGGUUUGCCGUCGCCGCAUACAUCUCUCGUGCACUCGUUCUCAAUACGAACGCGUGGAAGUGUAAUUUCCAGGCUUUGAACACGUGAUAUAGGGCCGCGUUACCGGUGGCCAACAAGUAGAGAGGAAGGGGGCCCAGACCGUGGCCAAGGUGACGAACACGCAACUUCAAGUCUCUGCACUCCCCACUCCCGCAACACCCGCGGACCCGAACUCCGUUUUGGUGGUAGGGCAGAAGGAGACUUCUCCUAUCCUUUCGUGCCAUUCAUACGCAACUGUCGCCUCCGCACGAGCAUUCGUGCAGAGAGGGAGUGCACAAGCGGGGCACUGCACAUCACGGUGAGCGGACCUCUUCUGUUCUAUCGGGGCCGGAAGCUCAACCAGAGCAGGGCCGCCCCUUGGCGGUGUACCCGCGCUUCUUCUUUCACCCUUUUCCUCCUCUUCCCUCUUCUCACGCUUCUUUCUUCUCCGGAUCGUUCUCAACUUUUUUCUUUCCUUUUCGCUGUUCCUGUGGGCCCAUUUGCUUGUGUGCGUGUGUGUGCAUGCGCGCACUCGUAG